This 817-nucleotide ribosomal RNA is filed under the name uncultured Borrelia sp. RNAcentral's name for it is "bacterial SSU rRNA". It matches the Rfam family "Bacterial small subunit ribosomal RNA", at positions 56 to 872 of the family's 1533-position model. Lineage: Bacteria; Pseudomonadati; Spirochaetota; Spirochaetia; Spirochaetales; Borreliaceae. The record is from RNAcentral.
UGCAAGUCAAACGGGAUGUAGCAAUACAUUCAGUGGCGAACGGGUGAGUAACGCGUGGAUGAUCUACCUAUGAGAUGGGGAUAACUAUUAGAAAUAGUAGCUAAUACCGAAUAAGGUCAAUUAAUUUGUUAAUUGAUGAAAGGAAGCCUUUAAAGCUUCGCUUGUAGAUGAGUCUGCGUCUUAUUAGCUAGUUGGUAGGGUAAAUGCCUACCAAGGCGAUGAUAAGUAACCGGCCUGAGAGGGUGAACGGUCACACUGGAACUGAGAUACGGUCCAGACUCCUACGGGAGGCAGCAGCUAAGAAUCUUCCGCAAUGGGCGAAAGCCUGACGGAGCGACACUGCGUGAAUGAAGAAGGUCGAAAGAUUGUAAAAUUCUUUUAUAAAUGAGGAAUAAGCUUUGCAGGAAAUGGUAAAGUGAUGACGUUAAUUUAUGAAUAAGCCCCGGCUAAUUACGUGCCAGCAGCCGCGGUAAUACGUAAGGGGCGAGCGUUGUUCGGGAUUAUUGGGCGUAAAGGGUGAGUAGGCGGAUAUAUAAGUCUAUGCGUAAAAUACCACAGCUCAACUGUGGAACUAUGUUGGAAACUGUAUGUCUAGAGUCUGAUAGAGGAAGUUAGAAUUCCUGGUGUAAGGGUGGAAUCUGUUGAUAUCAGGAAGAAUACCGGAGGCGAAGGCGAACUUCUGGGUCAAGACUGACGCUGAGUCACGAAAGCGUAGGGAGCAAACAGGAUUAGAUACCCUGGUAGUCUACGCUGUAAACGAUGCACACUUGGUGUUAACUAAAAGUUAGUACCGAAGCUAACGUGUUAAGUGUGCCGC